CUUUAUCCCACACUGGAGAUCCGAAAGACAGACAGUGGCUGAUGUGCAAGUGACAGUGGCUUUAAGAAGAAAGGCCAGUGGUUUUUUUAAAAAAUGGAUACGAGGGCUUCCCUGGUGGCGCAGUGGUUGAGAGUCCGCCUGCCGAUGCGGGGGACACGGGUUCGUGCCCCGGUCCGGGAAGAUCCCACAUGCCACGGAGUGGCUGGGCCCGUGAGCCAUGGCCGCUGAUCCUCUGCGUCCGGAGCCUGUGCUCCGCAACGGGAGAGGCCACAACAGAGAGAGGCCCGCGUACCGAAAAAAAAAAAAAAAAAAAUGGAUACAAGAUGGAACUGAUGAAUGUUAAAGAAGGAAAGCCGUAGCAUCUUAGAGAAUCUCACUAAGGUUGUGAGAAUCUCCUCAACGGGCUGAAAACUACCAGCAACAAACAGCUUAGGAAUAAUACUUUUUAAACAGUGAGUGAUCAAAUUUAGUGUGUGGCAGUUUGUCAAUAAAGCUGCAUGUUCAAGUUGUAACACAUCGGUGUCAAACUACGUGAUGGGCAUGGAUGGUAGAAAAAUCUGAUGGUGAAUAUCAAAACAGCUGUGAAAAAAGAAAUGGAGAGGAGAGCGGGGAAGGUUCACUCAGAGAGAAGGGAAGCUGGCCUGGCCCUGAGUCUGCUGCGUUUACAUCUUCCCCAGAAGGAGCAGAAGGCCCACGCGCGCCCAGCCCCGUAGACCCUGCCUCCCCGGGCCUCUGUGCAGGCCUCUGGUCCGGAUCCUGCUGACAGCGAUGAGCCAUCAGGUGAUCCGCCAUGGCGUGUCUCCUAGGAGAGGAAGCCUUCAGCACAUGCUUAUUCGACUAUGCUGCCAACAAUCGCCGAUGCCAAAAGGAGUGUCAGACGCUGGGUCAGAGAUGGCAAGGACACUCUCUGCCCUCCAGUCUGGCCCUGUGGCUGCAGUGACAGACAUGAGGACAGAGGGCUGAGAGGGUAGGAGCAAGGGUCCUCCACCCUGAGGAGUUGGGAGAGACAUGAGCGCAGCUAAGCGUGGGCUCCACGGAGUGUGGAGGGAGUGGGGGGAAGACGGCAGCAGGAGACCAGUCUGCAGAAGCCAGAUCAAAGGCAGGUGGAGUGGGGCCUUGAACUCAGACAGGCCCAGCUCAUCUCCUGACUGGCUGUCAGGUCUUAGGGCCAACUGGAAACCCUCAGACUGAGCUCCAGGGAACACACAGGAGUCACAACUACAUACACCUUCUCGGUGGACAAGCCCACAGGCUGUGUGUAUAAUCAAAGGGGCCAGAGGACGAGGCCAAUCCAAGGAGGGAAGAGCCUAGGCCGGGCCUAAGGCCAGAAUGAUGCCAGCGCCCCAACACCCAGGAAGCCAAGCCAGCAUCCAACCCCAUACCCAGGAAGCCAGGGCUUUCGUAAAAGUUCUGGUGGGAAGGAAGCUUCAACUAAGUCAAGUAACGCAAACUUAACAGGAUGCCCACUAGGCACGAGGCCCUGUGCUGGGCAGGACAAUACUAAGGGGAGCUAUGGCCUGAGAAGGUAGCGUUCCUGGAAGCCAGCUUACCACCAGCCAGCCUGCCCUAGGCCAUACAGAGUACAAGGAAACCAAGGACUCUGCCCUCACACUGCUGUCAGACAGACGCCUACUCAUUACAGAGAAUAAUGUGGGCCAAGUCUGUCCUGGCUGCUUGACCAUGCUGCGGGGAGGCCUCAGACAGCCCCUGUGACAGAGCCUGGAGUCCUCUACUGGCUGGGAAAGGGAAGGGAAGUGAGUUUCAGACAGAGGACAGCUCAAGCAACCAAGGGAAGUACAUGUACUUAGUGACCUUACACCUGCUAACGAGCUGAAGACACCAGCAGCUCGUUUUAGAGAUGAGAGAAAAGAGUGGCAAAGAGGCUCUGAGCUGCCCCAGGACCACUCAACUUUUCAAAAGCCAGCUUUCCCAAUCCCCUAUCCCAGCGCUUCUUAGAAGCUUCUCAAACUCUGAGGACAUAAUGAUAAAGCCUUGGCCCAAACUGUGACAAAGCUUCCCCAAGUGAUGUUCUUACCUGUGACCUGGACAUCAUCCUCUUCCACAGCUACUCCUAACCUUUACCAGCUCCUUAAACUGUUUCCUCCUCCCCGAGGACAAAUACCUCGUCGGAGACCCCUUCUCUCCUCCCAGCCAGUCUCCCAGGCCAGCCCAACCCCUCCAUCACCAGCCAAACCUUGCCGAAUCAAUCUUGCCUUCUCUCUUAUACCGUGAACCCCUCUAGCCACCCUGGGUCCUUCCCCUCAACCUAGACACAUGCUCGUGUAUGAUCCAGUUUAGAAAAGUGCUCCCUGGACCUGUGUGUCCUCUCCA
Molecule: long non-coding RNA, 2331 nt
Organism: Physeter macrocephalus (sperm whale)
Lineage: Eukaryota; Metazoa; Chordata; Mammalia; Artiodactyla; Physeteridae
Exons: 4
Source: RefSeq, a predicted model, not a curated record